RNAcentral lists this ribosomal RNA (681 nucleotides) under Arthrobacter sp. S17. Its description in RNAcentral is "bacterial SSU rRNA". It matches the Rfam family "Bacterial small subunit ribosomal RNA", at positions 619 to 1297 of the family's 1533-position model. The record is from RNAcentral. Lineage: Bacteria; Bacillati; Actinomycetota; Actinomycetes; Micrococcales; Micrococcaceae.
GAUCUGCGUGGGUACGGGCAGACUAGAGUGAUGUAGGGGAGACUGGAAUUCCUGGUGUAGCGGUGAAAUGCGCAGAUAUCAGGAGGAACACCGAUGGCGAAGGCAGGUCUCUGGGCAUUAACUGACGCUGAGGAGCGAAAGCAUGGGGAGCGAACAGGAUUAGAUACCCUGGUAGUCCAUGCCGUAAACGUUGGGCACUAGGUGUGGGGGACAUUCCACGUUUUCCGCGCCGUAGCUAACGCAUUAAGUGCCCCGCCUGGGGAGUACGGCCGCAAGGCUAAAACUCAAAGGAAUUGACGGGGGCCCGCACAAGCGGCGGAGCAUGCGGAUUAAUUCGAUGCAACGCGAAGAACCUUACCAAGGCUUGACAUGGACCAGACCGGACUGGAGACAGUUCUUCCCCUUUGGGGUUGGUUCACAGGUGGUGCAUGGUUGUCGUCAGCUCGUGUCGUGAGAUGUUGGGUUAAGUCCCGCAACGAGCGCAACCCUCGUUCUAUGUUGCCAGCACGUGAUGGUGGGGACUCAUAGGAGACUGCCGGGGUCAACUCGGAGGAAGGUGGGGACGACGUCAAAUCAUCAUGCCCCUUAUGUCUUGGGCUUCACGCAUGCUACAAUGGCCGGUACAAAGGGUUGCGAUACUGUGAGGUGGAGCUAAUCCCAAAAAGCCGGUCUCAGCUCGGA